CAGCCGCCGCGGGAAUACAGAGGGUGCGAGCGUUAAUCGGAUUUACUGGGCGUAAAGCGCGCGUAGGUGGUUCGCCAAGUUGGAUGUGAAAUCCCCGGGCUCAACCUGGGAACUGCAUCCAAAACUGGCGAGCUAGAGUAUGGUAGAGGGUGGUGGAAUUUCCUGUGUAGCGGUGAAAUGCGUAGAUAUAGGAAGGAACAUCAGUGGCGAAGGCGACCACCUGGACUGAUACUGACACUGAGGUGCGAAAGCGUGGGGAGCAAACAGGAUUAGAUACCCCGGUAGUCCCUGUCUCUUAUAU
RNAcentral lists this ribosomal RNA (301 nucleotides) under uncultured bacterium. Its description in RNAcentral is "partial 16S ribosomal RNA". It matches the Rfam family "Bacterial small subunit ribosomal RNA", at positions 509 to 809 of the family's 1533-position model. The record is from RNAcentral.